This 7275-nucleotide long non-coding RNA is filed under the name Nicotiana benthamiana. Its description in RNAcentral is "long non-coding RNA (NBEN_LNC030372)". Lineage: Eukaryota; Viridiplantae; Streptophyta; Magnoliopsida; Solanales; Solanaceae. The record is from RNAcentral.
CUCGGUCCAACCCCACCCCUCACCCCCACUUAAUGAAGCGACAAUGUUUCAGUUACAAGGCAUCCCAACCGUUGAUUAUCUAUUGAUCUAACAGAUGGGAACUAAACCCUUCUGCUCCCCAUAAGUGUCGGAGCACACCCCUCUAAAACCCCUCAGACUCUCCCCAUUUCCCUCUUCCGUCUCUCAAGAGCAAAUAGAUUGCUCUUAAGAAGAACAAUCAUUUUGGGUCAGUUUCAAGCUAUUUCAAAAUGCAACCAGGACAUGGCUUCAGCCCGUUAUUCUCAUUGGGUAUUUCCUUGUCUUUCUUUUUCUAUUUUGGUAUUUUAUUUUUUCUAAGACAAAUUAAAAAGAGAAAAAAGAAGCAAUGAUUAUUAUUGAUUGUUUUCCUAUGUUCAAUUAUUAGUUGUUUCAGUUGUUCUUUUCUAUUGAUUUAUUAACAAGUUGAUUUGUAGUUCGUUAGCAUUAAUUCAAUUCGAGUUCGCAACUGUUUAGGACAUAUUCUUUAUGGUAUUUUCUUUUCUUUCUUUUGUUCUUCCCUUUUUUCUUUCUCAUAAUUGUUGUUCUUGUUUAGUUUGCAUGCUUUAGGUUAUUCAUAGUGUUUUGUGUUGUUAUUUGUUUUACUCAUUUUGUAUAUGUUAGUCAUCAAACAUGUUCGUUUCUGAAGAGUUCUUGUGGAGUCCAUCGGGUUUAGGUUUAUUUAAGUUUUUAGAUGUCUAACGCUCUAAGUUUAAUUACAUUGUCUAGCUUUGUUGUUUGCUAUUUGAUUUGUUUGUUGAUACUUGCUUGUUUGUUUUUGUUUGUCGUAAUUUGUAUGUCACUAGGAACUUGUAAGGGGUAAUUGAACAAGAAAGAAAACUUAAGGGAGUCAUUUGAAAGAUGGGUAAGUAGAAAUUUCAUAUAGGGUAAUUAGAAGGUUCUAGAAUAUGGACAGUUGGCCCCAUUUUGCCAAUAUAAAUUUCUGAAGCCAAUUAGAAAUGGCCAGUUGUCCAGUUUCUGUUAAAAAGAUGCUCUUUUUGAUUUUUUUUUGUUGAGGGCUAUUUUAAAGGAAUUGUUGCCUGACUUGGAGGGCAUAUGGCAGAUUUAGUACCUAUAUAUAUGACCUCUUCUCUCUCACAAAUAGAGAAAAAAGGACCUCUGAAAAAUCCAGCUCUAGGCUCUAGUCAGUUUUUCUUUAUUUUCUGCUUUUUCACAAAAAGUUUGAAAGAGUUUUUACUUUGGAUUUUAAGUUGAAAUAUUGAUUGAUACUGAGGCUUUGUAUUGGUUGAUUCUGUUGUUUCUCUGCUGCUGGCUCUACUGUUUCUUACGAUUUUUUACUGAUCUUAGAGAUACCUUUGCUUAUUCAGUUUACCCGCCAUAUCUAGGUACCUUUUCUUGAACCAUGAAUGGAAAAUGGAGUAUGAUCAUGCUUAUGUAGAAGAUGUAUUCAUGCUGGAAUUAAUGGAGUUGUUCAUGUUAAAUUCCAACAUUCAUGUUUUUUUAGACAUUCAAUUUUUUUCUUUCUUUUAGCUCUUAGUUAAAAACCGAUAAGUCUGCUAUUUCAUUUAAUGGUUAGUUGAUUGUCCAAUAUAAAAUGCUUAGUAGUUCAUUUUUGUGUACUAGAUUUUCUUGAGGAUUUCGUUCAUUAAAGGCAAGUAAAUAAACAACUUCUGUUUGUGUGCUCGUUGAAUUGAAUAUUGGUUAGUGUGCUGGUAAUAACUCAUUUAGGAAGGUUGAUGGAUCUUUUUUGAGGUUCAAGUUUUUUGUUCCAUUACAAAGGAAGUUCAUGUUCAAUCACUAAACCAUUUAAGAACAGCUCGAGCGAGUGUCAGCAAGGGACGGCGGGAGUUGGAAGUGAACGUGCUAGGUUGUCGCAACAUCGUCGUAUAUACCAAGACAAUUCAAGGUUCUACUCGCGGGAGUUGGUACCUCCUGUUUUCCUGUUUCCCUUUGUCUUGUUAGUUAAAUUGCUACCAAAUUAGUUCAUAUUAAUCUAUUCACCGUAUUAGUGUGCCUAUAGUUGUAGCUUGUCUUCUUCUAGUUUGGUAUGUUGCCUUGUAUGUGUUAGUGAUUCCCGGUGUAAGUAUAGUAGCGGUGGUUUGGGAUGGUCGAGUAAGGUCAUGUACUCUGGGGGAAUGGGGGGUGGGGCAGGAGGUAAGGCAGGGGUUAGGGGGUGGAUCAGGUGGAAAAGGAAGUAAAGGGGACAAUAUAGCACGUGUCCAAGAGGUAAAACGAAGAUCCUCCAGAAGAGAAGGGUCAAUAUAGCAUUUGUCCAAGAGACAAAGUGGGUAGGGUCGAGGGCAAAUGAUGCAGACAGAUAUAAGCUUUGGUACUCAGGAGUCGUGAAAGGUAAGAAUUGAGUAGGUAUCUUGGUGGAUAGGGGACUUAGAGAGUCUAUGGUUGAGGUUAGACGAGUGAAUAAUAGAUUGAUAAUUAUUAAGUUGGUAGUUGGUGAGUGCACAUUAAACGUUAUUAGUGCCUAUGCACCGCAUGCGAUCCUGGAUGAAGAGGUUAAAUGGCUUGUGGGAGGGGUUAGAUGAGAUUGUAUGCCAGGUUCCGCCUGCUGAGAAGCUAUUCAUAAUUUUGAAUUGCAAUGGUCAUAUCGGGUCGAACGCAGGUGGUUAUGGUGAGGUGCAUGGAGGCUUCUGUUUUGAGGAGAUAAAUAGAGGAUGUAUCUCGCUGUUGGACUUCGCUAAGGCUUUUGGGUUUGUGAUUGCGAACUCUAGUGUUCCAAAGAGAGAGGAGCAUUUAGUUACUUUUCAAAAUACAGCGGCGAAGAAUCAGAUUGACUAUCUAUUCCUCAAGAGGUGCGAUAGAGGGUUGUGCAAGGAUUGCAAGGUGAUUCCGGGUGAGAUAACUACACAACAUAGGCUCUUGGUGAUGGACGUUAGUAUUAUGUUAAAGAAUAUGAGAAUUCUGGUCGAGGAAGAUCGAGAACUAGAUAGGGAGCCUUAACUAAGGAUAAAUCCCAAGAGUUAGAAGGGCGGUUAUCAGCUUUGGGAGCUUGUAGGAGCAGUGGUAAUGCGAGCACUAUGUAGUUAGAAAUAGCAAACUGUAUAAGGGAGGCUACGAGAGAAGUCUUAGGGGUCUCGACGAUCGUAUCUGAUUGGCACAAAGGAGACUGGUGGUGGAGUAAAGUGGUCCAAGGUAAAAUGGAAGCGAAGAAGGUGGCAUACCUUAAGUUAAUGGGGAGCAUAGGAGGAGGAGAGGCGAGUGUGCAUAGAGAGGUAUAAGGUAGAUAGGAAGGAAGCUAAGAUGACAGUCAUGGAGGCUAAUACUGUGGCUUAUGGUCGUAUAUACGAGAAACUAGGGGAAAAAGGUGGGAGAAGAAGUUAUUCAGGCUGGCCAAUUUGAGAGAGAGAAAGGCUCGGGAUUUGGAACAAGUGAGAUGCAUCAAGGAUGAUGACAGUAGAGUAUUGAUGGAAGAUGCCCAAAUUAAGAGGAGAUGGUAGACUUACUUUCAUAAACGUUUGAAUAAAGAAGGGGAUUGAGAUAUUGUGCUAGGCGAAUUGGAGCAUUCCAAGAGUCACCGUGACUCUGGUAUUACAGGCAUAUCAAUAUUAAGAGGGUCGUGGGAGCUAUGCAUAAGAUGAGUAGGGGCAUAGCGACUGGGCCAGAUGAGAUUCCAGUAGAAUUUAGAAGUGGGUGGGGAGAGCAGGUUUGGAGUGGUUGACUAGGUUGUUUAAUAUUAUUUUUAAGGCGAAGAUGAUGUCGGAUGAGUGGAGGUGGAGUACGGUGGUCCUAUUGUAUAAGAACAAAGGUGAUAUCCAGAGUUGUAACAAUUAUAGGGGUAUCAAAUUACUGAGUCAUACCAUAAAAGUGUGGGAGAGGGUGGUUCAAGCAAGGGAGAGGAUGAUAGUGUCUAUAUCCGAUGACCAGUUUGGGUUCAUGCCGGGUCGUUCUACUAUAGAAGCUAUACAUAUUAUUAGGAGGUUAAGUGAACUGUACAGAGAGAGGAAGAAGGAUCUGCACAUGGUGUUUAUUGACCUAGAGAAGGCGUAUGACAAGGUUCAUAUAGAAGUUCUCUAGAGAUGCUUGGAGGCGAAUGGGGUGUCGGUUCCCUAUAUUAUGGCGAUUAUGUGACGACCCAAUGGGGUCAUCACUUAUUUAUUUUCUGUUCUGUACUUUCGAGGCCUUAAAACCUCUUCUCGAGUUGCCUCGAUUAGCAUGUGCAGUCCCGACGCAUAGCCGGAAGGCUUAGAUAUGGAUUUUUGUGAGAAGAAUGCUAAUUUUGGUAUUAAAUUGAACAAAAUUUGACUUCGGUCAAUAUUUUAGGUAAACGGACCCGGACCCGUGAUUUGAAGAUCUCGAAUGGUCCGUAGGAAAAUAUGGGACUUGAGCGUAUGCCUGGAAUCAGAUUUCGAGGUCCCAAGUCCGAGAAAUGAUUUUUAUGUGAAAUUGUUUUCUGUAAAUGAUUAAAGAAAAUGGAAACAAAAUGUUAUUAGAAGACUGGGGUAUCGGGCCUGUAUUUUAGUUGCGGUGCCCGAUAUAAGUCUUAUAUAUGAUUGGAGCUCUUCCCCUAAAGUUUGAUUGAAAACGGACGUCGUUUGACGUGUUUUGGACCCGAAAUGGGAAUUCUAUAUCUUAUGAAAUUGGGAGAAACCAUGAGUUUUGAGGCUCAAUCCGAUGUUCAUGAUGUUAUCUUGGAGAUUUGAUUGCAUGGACAAGUCCGUAAGGUGUUUUACGGAUGUUUUUGAGGUUGUGUGUAUAUUUGGUUUGGAGCCCCGAGGGUUCGGGUGAAUUUCGAGAAGGUUCCGGGAGGUCUUAGACCUAAAACACCAGGUAUUGCAGGUUGGGUGCGAGCUGAAGGUUCCAGCGCCGCCGUAGUCACGAUCGCCGCGGUCCGCUGCAUGAGCCGCACGAUCGUGGUCUCCCUCGCGCGAUCUGCGUUGUCCGCUUCAGAGGACCCGCAACCUUCUGUUUCUCUAGCGCGGCCGCGCCCGCUUUUGUGUGGUCCGCGGCGUGAGCCGUGCGGCUGCGGUCACCUUCGCGCGGUCCGCACUGCCGAUCUUAGAGAACCUGCAACUUUCAGCUCCACCAGCGCGGCCACGGUCAUCCCCGUGUGGUCCAUGCUGGAGGUUCAAGGAAUAUAUAUACACGGGAUUUUUCAGUUAUUUCUCACAUUUCAAAAACCCAAAACCUAAGAGGUGAUUUUCUAAGCAAUACUUCUUCUUCAAAACGAUCGUUAAGUAUUUUUAACUCAUUUUGUUCUCUCCUUAACACCUUUUUACAUAAUUUCAACAUCAAAUCAAAGGUUUUAAUGGAAGAUUCGGGUAUAUCGGGUGGGACCUAGGGUUUUGCUAAAUUGGGGGUUGGACCUCAAUUUGAGGUCCGAUUUCAAAACUAAUCAAAUGAUUGGAUUCGUGGGGGAACGUGUAACCGGAUUUUAGUUCGAAUCUCGGGGCUUAACCACGUUGGUUUGAGGGGUGUUUUGGUCAUUUUACCUAAAAUUUUGUCUUAGCUAUAAAUUUAAGAGUAGAAUUAGUUGCUUGAGAUGUUAUUUACAAUGUUUAAUUGAAAUGAAUAUAUUUGGUCCAUUUGGAGUCAGAUACUCGUGGCAAAAGAGUGAUUUCAAGUUGAUCAUUGGAGCCGAUUGAGGUAAGUGGCUUGUCUAACCUUGUGUGGGGGACCUUUCCCCUAGGAUAUGUUAAUUCGUAAUUCAGUGCCUUGUACGUAAGAUGACGAGCGCGUGCUUGAGCUAAUUGUUGAAAAAUCCGGUUCCUUUCUUAGAUAUUGAGGUUGAGUUUCUUUUGUACCUACUUACCUUACUUGCAAUUAUAACCUGUGUUAGAUGAGAAGGUCAUGUUUUGUUUAGCUUGCUUACUUGCUUAAAUUUCCUUAACUGCACUGUGUGAAACAUGUUAGGCUGGAAUUUUUUGUUGCUUGUAUUGUUGCACUUCAUUAUAAAUAUUCUUUUAUUGUGGUUGCGCAUAUUUACUUUGGGACUAUGGGUUUGAUUCCCGGGAGAUCCCCUUGCAUAUUUACUUUGGGACUACGGGUUUGAUUCCCGGCAAAUCCCCCUGCAUAUUACUUUGGGACUGCGGGUUUGAUUCCCGAGAGAUCCCCCUGCAUAUUUACUUUGGGACUACGGGUUGGCUUCCCGGGAGAUCCCUCUGUACUUGAUAUGUUCUGGACUGAGGGUGUGGGAUACCAAGAGAUCCCUGGCACAUGAGAUUGUAANNNNNNNNNNNNNNNNNNNNNNNNNNNNNNNNNNNNNNNNNNNNNNNNNNNNNNNNNNNNNNNNNNNNNNNNNNNNNNNNNNNNNNNNNNNNNNNNNNNNNNNNNNNNNNNNNNNNNNNNNNNNNNNNNNNNNNNNNNNNNNNNNNNNNNNNNNNNNNNNNNUAUUUAUAUAUAUCAAAACAAAAUUACAAAAUGAACCUAUAGAAUAUGAUGAGGAUACCAAGAUAUCCUCGAGAUACCAAGAGAUCCCUAGUGGAUAUGAUGAGGAUACCAAGAGAUCCACGAAUAUUAUUUCCUGUUGCGAGUAGUGUUCCUUGUAUUGUUUCGUUCCAUUUUUUUCCCUAUUGUUGUUUCCCUUAUUUAUCCUGUUUAGAUUCUCGCUGUAGAUUUUAAUUAUAUUGUCUUUCUUUAUCUCAUCAGAUAUUAUAUUUAUCUCAGUAGGGCCUUGACCUUCCUCGUCACUACCCAAUUGAGGUUAGGCUUGGCACUUACUGAGUACCGCUAUGGUGUACUCAUGCCUCUUCUGCGCAUGUUUUCUAUGUGCAGAUCCAGGUACCUCUUCUUAGGCGUACUAUCACCGAGGCGGAGAGAUAUAGCAGAGACUCGAGUUAUAUCUGCAGCCUCCGUAGACUGAAGAGUUUCCUUCCUAUUCCAUCCUGUAGUUAGCUAGUUUGCUAAUAUUUUUCAUUGAUGUAGACAUUUCCGGAGUUAGGGCAGUAUUAUAUACUUUAUAUAUCCUGUGUUGCCCGUGAGAUUCCAGGUUUUGGGGUUCUAUUUCUUAAUUGUGGCGUGAAGUGUAUGUUCCAAGUGGUAAAUUAUAUACAUUUCUUUAAGUUACUUAGUACUUAAGCUAUUAUUAUCGUGAAUGUUGUUAUUUCUGCACUUUAGGCUUACCUAGUCCUCGUGACUGGGUGCCGUCAUGACGUGUUCGCGGAUGGUGAACUAGGGUCGUGACAGAUUAAUGAUAUGUAUGAUGUGUCUAACACUCAGGUUAGGACAGUUGGAGGCGACUUUGACCAUUUUUCGAUUGUAAUGGGUUACACCAAAGUUCUGCGCUCAAUCCAUUCUUAUUCGCCCUGGUGGACGCGUUAACGCACCAUAUUCAAGGGGAGAUGUCAU